Molecule: ribosomal RNA, 253 nt
Filed under: uncultured bacterium
Lineage: Bacteria
Description: partial 16S ribosomal RNA
Rfam family: Bacterial small subunit ribosomal RNA
Source: RNAcentral
UACGUAGGGUGCAAGCGUUAAUCGGAAUUACUGGGCGUAAAGCGUGCACAGGCGGUUUUGUAAGUCUGACGUGAAAUCCCCGGGCUCAACCUGGGAAUUGCGAUGGAGACUGCAAGGCUUGAAUCUGGCAGAGGGGGGUAGAAUUCCACGUGUAGCAGUGAAAUGCGUAGAGAUGUGGAGGAACACCGAUGGCGAAGGCAGCCCCCUGGGUCAAGAUUGACGCUCAUGCACGAAAGCGUGGGGAGCAAACAGG